This 326-nucleotide ribosomal RNA is filed under the name uncultured eukaryote. RNAcentral's name for it is "partial 18S ribosomal RNA". It matches the Rfam family "Eukaryotic small subunit ribosomal RNA", at positions 1470 to 1796 of the family's 1831-position model. The record is from RNAcentral.
CCCUUAGAUGUUCUGGGCCGCACGCGCGCUACACUGAUGCAUUCAACAAGCCUAGCCUUGACCGAGAGGUCCGGGUAAUCUUUGAAACUGCAUCGUGAUGGGGCUAGAUUAUUGCAAUUAUUAAUCUUCAACGAGGAAUGCCUAGUAAGCGUGAUUCAUCAAAUCGCGUUGAUUACGUCCCAGCCCUUUGUACACACCGCCCGUCGCUCCUACCGAUUGAAUGUGUUGGUGAGGAGCUCGGAUUGGCAGCAGUUGGUGGUUCGCCACCGGCUAUUGCUGAGAAGUCCUCCAAACCGCCCCAUUUAGAGGAAGGAGAAGUCGUAACA